UUGCGUCCUCUGACGUUAGACGGCGGAACUGGGCCGAGGUAACACUGGGCGAACCUGCCCUCGUAGUUGGGGAGUAACUCCGGGUAAACCGGGGCCGUAAUACCGAAUGAUUAAUUCUUCUCAUGAAGGAUUCUGAAAGACGGCUUCGGCUGUCGCUACGGGAUGGGCCCGCGGCGCAUUAGCUAGUUGGUAAGGUAACGGCUUACCAAGGCGACGAUGCGUAGCCGACCUGAGAGGGUGAUCGGCCACACUGGGACUGAGACACGGCCCAGACUCCUACGGGAGGCAGCAGUAGGGAAUCAUCCACGAAUGGACGAAAGUCUGAUGGUGCAAUGCCGCGUGAGCGAAGAAGGUUUUCGGAUCGUAAAGCUCUGUUAUGAGGGAAGAACAAGUACAAGAGUAACUGCUUGUACCUUGACGGUACCUCAUUAGAAAGCCACGGCUAACUACGUG
This 453-nucleotide ribosomal RNA is filed under the name uncultured Caryophanales bacterium. Its description in RNAcentral is "bacterial SSU rRNA". It matches the Rfam family "Bacterial small subunit ribosomal RNA", at positions 72 to 507 of the family's 1533-position model. Lineage: Bacteria; Bacillati; Bacillota; Bacilli; Caryophanales. The record is from RNAcentral.